RNAcentral lists this ribosomal RNA (487 nucleotides) under uncultured Chloroflexota bacterium. RNAcentral's name for it is "bacterial SSU rRNA". It matches the Rfam family "Bacterial small subunit ribosomal RNA", at positions 885 to 1382 of the family's 1533-position model. Lineage: Bacteria; Bacillati; Chloroflexota. The record is from RNAcentral.
GCCAGCCCGCUCAGAAACUCAAAUGAAUUGACGGGGCCCGCACAAGCAGCGGAGCGUGUGGUUUAAUUCGAUGAUACGCGAAGAACCUCACCCAGGUUUGACAUGCACGUGGUACUGAUCCGAAAGGUGAUGGACCCUUCGGGGAGCGUGCACAGGUGUUGCAUGGCCGUCGUCAGCUCGUGCCGUGAGGUGUUGGGUUAAGUCCCGCAACGAGCGCAACCCCUGUCGCCAGUUGUAUUUUUCUGGCGAGACUGCCGAGAAAACCUCGGAGGAAGGAGGGGGCGAUGUCAGGUCAGCGUGGCCCUUACGCCUGGGGCUACACACACGCUACAAUGGGCAGUACAACGGGUCGCGAAGCCGCGAGGUGGAGCUAAUCCCAUCAAAGCUGUCCUCAGUUCGGAUUGCAGGCUGAAACCCGCCUGCAUGAAGCCGGAGUUGCUAGUAACCGCAGGUCAGCAUUACUGCGGUGAAUACGUUCCCGGGCCUU